CAGCCAUGUAACUCGAGACAAAUCCCCAGCUGGAGUGACAUCUCUCAGGUCAUCUUGCUCUUCUCUCUGCAACAGUUGCUUUCUCUCCUUCUUUUUCUUAUCUUUCGUGUGGACGGUAUGUUCCCCACAAGAAUUAAUUAGCUGCUGAUUUCCCACGAUGUUGUGCGAAGAUUGACUUUGAUCUGCCAAGGUCAUUUCCUCUCGCUGGAGGAUUCUAUCUUGAGAAUCUUCACUGCACACCUCAGCUUUAUCAGCUCUUCCUUUUUCUAUUUGCUUCUCUUUAACUGGUUUGAGCCUCACUUGCACUCAUUACACAACUCAUUUGCCGGUGUCUUUUCUUCCCUGUUCAUCUCGCUGGUAGAAAUAUUAUGUUCACUCUGCAUCCUGAUAGCAAGAUUCUAUAACAAAGGAUCCAUUCUUUUGCAUUCUACAGAUUUUGUUGACUGGCUGCUUCAUGGAACUGUUUUAUCCUCAUAGAAUUGCCAAUCGAGGUCGAUUACGCCAUUAUCCCCAAAGAGACCGUUCGCUGAGACGGAAGCUAUCUUGAAGAUAGAAGCGCAAACACUCUAGUAGUAGUGUCUCACAACCUAUCUCUUUUGGUUUACCUUUGCUUUGAAGAAGCGCCUGGAGCCCAAUUUUUUCGCCUU
Molecule: small RNA, 647 nt
Filed under: Histoplasma capsulatum
Lineage: Eukaryota; Fungi; Ascomycota; Eurotiomycetes; Onygenales; Ajellomycetaceae
Also listed under: 1 other name
Description: hypothetical RNA
Source: RNAcentral